GUAGGUGGCAAGCGUUGUCCGGAAUCAUUGGGCGUAAAGCGCGCGCAGGCGGUUCUUUAAGUCUGAUGUGAAAGCCCACGGCUCAACCGUGGAGGGUCAUUGGAAACUGGAGAACUUGAGUACAGAAGAGGAAAGCGGAAUUCCACGUGUAGCGGUGAAAUGCGUAGAGAUGUGGAGGAACACCAGUGGCGAAGGCGGCUUUCUGGUCUGUAACUGACGCUGAGGCGCGAAAGCGUGGGGAGCAAACAGGAUUAGAUACCCUGGUAGUCCACGCCGUAAACGAUGAGUGCUGAGUGUUAGGGGGUUUUCCGCCCCCUUAGUGCUGCAGCUAACGCAUUAAGCACUCCGCCUGGGAGUACGGCCGCAAGGCUG
This 372-nucleotide ribosomal RNA is filed under the name uncultured organism. Its description in RNAcentral is "partial 16S ribosomal RNA". It matches the Rfam family "Bacterial small subunit ribosomal RNA", at positions 527 to 896 of the family's 1533-position model. The record is from RNAcentral.